Molecule: ribosomal RNA, 230 nt
Filed under: uncultured bacterium
Lineage: Bacteria
Description: partial 16S ribosomal RNA
Rfam family: Bacterial small subunit ribosomal RNA
Source: RNAcentral
CGGGUAGAGUAAUACAUCGGAACGUGCCCAGUAGUGGGGGAGUAACCCGGCGAAAGCCGGACUAAUACCGCAUACGACCUACGGGUGAAAGCAGGGGAUCGCAAGACCUUGCGCUAUCGGAGCGGCCGAUGUCAGAUUAGCUUGUUGGUGGGGUAAAAGCCCACCAAGGCGACGAUCUGUAGCUGGUCUGAGAGGACGACCAGCCACACUGGGACUGAGACACGGCCCAG